CAAAUCAAAGAAAAAUACACUAAUAUCAAGAGGAUUUUACCUACUUUUAGUUCCCUUUUUGCAGUGUGGAUUUGUAAGGUAUGGGGUGAUGGAUGUCUAACCCUGGAGUGUGGAGUGGAGCACCGAGGAGAAGGUUUCUGAGGGUGGACGGGUUGGACGUUGGUUCCUGAACAGGCUUAGCUCACAGAGUCUGAUGUAAAAUGAAGAUAAUGUUGAUAAUGAGAACCUGGGGUGACCGCGGCCGGGUCGGUCGGUUGUUUCUGACUGAAGUGGGACAUUAAAGAAAGGAAUGCCAGAGCCUGUUGACGCUGGGGUUUGAAUCGCGUCCACAUGUGGAAGACGACCGGACCCGGACCCGUGUUCAGCCUGGACCGGGUCUCCGCUUUGAGGACGGACGCGUUAAAAGAUGGAAAUCAGAGCGAAGGGAGACGGACGCUGAGCGAAGCACAUCUACUGGAGCUCCUAACGAGCGUUUAAGCCCAGAAAUGACGUGGCGGAGCCAGACGUCUGUGGUUUGGACCCGCUGCUCCAGAACCACAACAUAA
Molecule: long non-coding RNA, 545 nt
Organism: Fundulus heteroclitus (mummichog)
Lineage: Eukaryota; Metazoa; Chordata; Actinopteri; Cyprinodontiformes; Fundulidae
Exons: 2
Source: RefSeq, a predicted model, not a curated record